GACGAACGCUGGCGGCGUGCCUAACACAUGUAAGUCGCACGGGACUGGAGGGCAACUUCCAGUUCAGUGGCAGACGGGUGCGUAACACGUGAGGAACUUGUCCAACGGCGGGGGAUAGCCGGCCCAACGGCCGGGUAAUACCGCAUACGAUCGUUCGGGGGCAUCCCUGAACGAGGAAAGCAGCCGCAAGGUUGCGCCGAUGGAGGGUCUCGCGGCCUAUCAGCUAGUUGGCGGGGUAAGGCCCACCAAGGCGACGACGGGUAGCUGGUCUGAGAGGAUGGCCAGCCACAUUGGGACUGAGACACGGCCCAGACUCCUACGGGAGGCAGCAGUGGGGAAUCUUGCGCAAUGGCCGCAAGGCUGACGCAGCGACGCCGCGUGUGGGACGACGGCCU
RNAcentral lists this ribosomal RNA (395 nucleotides) under uncultured bacterium. Its description in RNAcentral is "bacterial SSU rRNA". It matches the Rfam family "Bacterial small subunit ribosomal RNA", at positions 28 to 417 of the family's 1533-position model. The record is from RNAcentral.